This 592-nucleotide ribosomal RNA is filed under the name Schenella pityophila. Its description in RNAcentral is "SSU rRNA". It matches the Rfam family "Bacterial small subunit ribosomal RNA", at positions 298 to 928 of the family's 1533-position model. Lineage: Eukaryota; Fungi; Basidiomycota; Agaricomycetes; Geastrales; Geastraceae. The record is from RNAcentral.
GAUCAUAUGGCCACAUUGGGAAUGAGAUACCCCAAGUAGUUUAUCUACCAGCAGUCGAGAAUAUUGGUCAAUGCUCGCAAGAGUGAACCAGCUAACUGGAAUCCUGAUAAUGUAGGGAUAAGGUAUAGGUAAAUUAUGAUUACUGUACUAUAAGUGUUGUCCAAAACUGGUGCCAGAAGACUCGGUAAGGCCAGAGACGCAAGCGUUAGUCAUCUUGAUCAGGCGUAAAGGGUCUGUAGGCUGCUUUAAAAUAUAAAUAAAUCUUAAUAGUCUUUUUUAUAUAAAUAAUUAAAGCUAGAAUCAAAUAGAGGUCACGAAUUUAAAAAUAUGAGACAAUUCCUAAUGGAGGGUCGACAUCUGUAGAUAUUAGGAGGAGUACUAAUUAGCGGAAGCUCUUUUCCAUCUAAUGAUUGACGCUGAGAGACGAAGGGGAGGACAGAAAAUAGGAUUAGAUACCCUAGUAUCCCUCCCUGUAAACGAUGAAUGGUAGUUGCUAGAUAUAAUUUAGUGGCGAUGCUAACGCGUUAACCAUUCCGCCUUGUAAGUACGGUCGCAAGGCUGAAAACAAAAAAAUUAGUCGGUUUCGGAGCAA